ACCGGUUCUUGGAGAAGAGGAAAGAUAGGUAGGUUUUCAUCAACUAAUAACAAAUAUCAUGUAAAGGGAAAAAAAAUAAUUCUGCAAUUGAAGUUUUGCUGUGGGUAUACUGAACUAAUUAGGUUAUAAAUCACCUAGGAUAUGAUUGAAAUUGAAAUUGAACUAUUUGUUAUUUUCAGAAUCAACAAGGUGUUCUUUCUUUCGUAUUGAUUCAUUGAAUUUGUUAUUUAUUUUGUAACUUGGCAUUUUACAGGAUCACUGCAAGUGCAAGAGCUCCAUACCAAACAAGUCG
Molecule: unclassified non-coding RNA, 292 nt
Filed under: Hevea brasiliensis (rubber tree)
Lineage: Eukaryota; Viridiplantae; Streptophyta; Magnoliopsida; Malpighiales; Euphorbiaceae
Source: RNAcentral